GGUCAGCGUUUAUAAAAAAAGUUUUCUAUCUAUCUAUCCACACAAUAUAAAACCCCUAAAACCCAUCCGUCAAAAGUCACAAAAUCCCAUACUCCAAGUUAGAGUGGUGAUAUACGCUGUAUAUACAUCAUAAAAAUGGAGAGACCAUCAGCUGAAGGCAAAUUUCAGUCAAGAAAAUUGAUUUCCACCAAUUCCAUGGUGUUUGAGUUGCCGGCCUGCCAGUAUCGAUCAGUAUCGUCUGCACUCUGCAAGGAGCGUGGACCACCUCGUGUAUGGCAAUGUUGGUGAUGGAAGAGGCACAACACGCCAUUUUCACGUCGUCUUUGACGUCCGCCGACGUCGAUCUAAAUCUGUCUAAUUUGAAGAUGAACGCGCGUGGGCCGCGUAUGAUUUGCUUAUUUUUGCUUAUACGAAGUAAUUAGGUACUACCGCAGACUACAUUAGUUUACGGGCUCAAUUCAAAUUUAAGAUUGUUCUAAAACCUGAGAGAAUAUUUUGUAAAAUGGUAAGAGUUUUUGUCGUUUUUUUUGCUUGAAUUAUACGUAAAUAAUAUCUGUUCGUAUUCAAAUAUACCAGCGCUUGUAUUUUCUUGUUAUUAUUUAGUUUCAGUAUAUACUGCUAUUCAGCCGUCAAGGCAAACUGCGACUUCAGAGAUGGUACACUGCCAUGACACAAAAAGAUAAAAAGAAAAUCACAAGAGAACUUAUAUCCAUUGUACUGACCAGAAAACCGAAAAUGUGCAGCUUCCUAGAGUACAAAGAUCUGAAGAUUGUUUAUAAAAGGUA
Paramuricea clavata is the source of this 785-nucleotide non-coding RNA. The record is from the annotation of a GenBank genome assembly. Lineage: Eukaryota; Metazoa; Cnidaria; Anthozoa; Malacalcyonacea; Plexauridae.